RNAcentral lists this ribosomal RNA (347 nucleotides) under uncultured bacterium. RNAcentral describes it as "partial 16S ribosomal RNA". It matches the Rfam family "Bacterial small subunit ribosomal RNA", at positions 338 to 682 of the family's 1533-position model. The record is from RNAcentral.
CCUACGGGUGACAGCAGUGAGGAAUAUUGGUCAAUGGACGAGAGUCUGAACCAGCCAAGUAGCGUGAAGGAUGACUGCCCUAUGGGUUGUAAACUUCUUUUAUAGGGGAAUAAAAUGUGCCACGUGUGGGAUUUUGUAUGUACCAUAUGAAUAAGGAUCGGCUAACUCCGUGCCAGCAGCCGCGGUAAAACGGAGGAUCCGAGCGUUAUCCGGAUUUAUUGGGUUUAAAGGGAGCGUAGGUGGCUUGUUCAGUCAGUUGUGAAAGUUUGCGGCUCAACCGUAAAAUUGCAGUUGAAACUGGCAGUCUUUAGUACAGUUGAGGUAGGCGGAAUUCGUGUUGUAGCUGU